AAGGACAAGUGAUGAAUAAAGAACUUCUUACCUACAUUAUUUGAGUUUGAUGAAAAUAAAAUAGAUAAGAGCUGAUGUCCUU
This 82-nucleotide small nucleolar RNA is filed under the name Rhodnius prolixus. Its description in RNAcentral is "Small nucleolar RNA SNORD34". It matches the Rfam family "Small nucleolar RNA SNORD34". Rfam says of the family: snoRNA U34 is found in intron 5 of the ribosomal protein L13a gene in humans. U34 is a member of the C/D class of snoRNA which contain C (UGAUGA) and D (CUGA) box motifs, and functions in directing site-specific 2'-O-methylation of 25S rRNAs. Lineage: Eukaryota; Metazoa; Arthropoda; Insecta; Hemiptera; Reduviidae. The record is from Rfam by way of RNAcentral.